UACGGGGGGAGCAAGCGUUGUUCGGAUUUACUGGGCGUAAAGGGCGCGUAGGCGGCGCAACAAGUCACUUGUGAAAUCUCCGGGCUUAACCCGGAGCGGCCAAGUGAUACUGUCGUGCUAGAGUGCGGAAGGGGCUACUGGAAUUCUCGGUGUAGCGGUGAAAUGCGUAGAUAUCGAGAGGAACACCUGCGGCGAAGGCGGGUCUCUGGACAGUUCCUGACGCUGAGGCACGAAGGCCAGGGGAGCAAACGGG
RNAcentral lists this ribosomal RNA (253 nucleotides) under uncultured bacterium. RNAcentral's name for it is "partial 16S ribosomal RNA". It matches the Rfam family "Bacterial small subunit ribosomal RNA", at positions 524 to 776 of the family's 1533-position model. The record is from RNAcentral.